GAAUUGCGCAAAUUCCAUAAGAAAGAUGGUGAACUAUGAUUGUGUAGUUUGAAGCCAGAUAAAACUCUGGUGGAGAACCGCAGCGAUUCUGACAAGCAAAUCGAUCGUCAAACGUGAGUAUAGGAGCGAAAAAAUAAUCAAACCAUCUAGUGGCUGGUUCCCGCCGAAGUGUCCUUCA
RNAcentral lists this non-coding RNA (178 nucleotides) under Schistocephalus solidus. RNAcentral's name for it is "Eukaryotic large subunit ribosomal RNA". It matches the Rfam family "Eukaryotic large subunit ribosomal RNA", at positions 798 to 975 of the family's 3401-position model. Lineage: Eukaryota; Metazoa; Platyhelminthes; Cestoda; Diphyllobothriidea; Diphyllobothriidae. The record is from Rfam by way of RNAcentral.